Molecule: non-coding RNA, 323 nt
Organism: Eimeria tenella
Lineage: Eukaryota; Apicomplexa; Conoidasida; Eucoccidiorida; Eimeriidae
Source: Rfam
GUCUAUGUAUAAGCCUUUAUACGAUGAAACUGCGAAUGGCUCAUUAAAACAGUUAUAGUUUAUUUAAUGGUCUCUUUUUACAUGGAUAACCAUGACAAUUCUAUGGCUAGUACAUGCGCAAAGGUCACCUCCUUUGGAGGGGCUGUGUCUAUUAGAUACGAAACCAACUCACUUUCUUGUGGAGUCUUGGUGCUUCAUAGUAACUGAGCGUAUCGCAGCUGGUUCUUUUGGGCCCGCGAUGGUCUCGACCUCAGUGUUCUUCUCAUUUGCAAUCAAAGACUGCGAAAAACUUCAUGAUGACGAAACAUGCUUCUUCCGCGAAG